UACGUAGGGUGCGAGCGUUGUCCGGAAUUAUUGGGCGUAAAGAGCUUGUAGGCGGUUUGUCGCGUCUGCUGUGAAAAUCCGGGGCUCAACCCCGGACUUGCAGUGGGUACGGGCAGACUAGAGUGUGGUAGGGGAGACUGGAAUUCCUGGUGCAGCGGUGAAAUGCGCAGAUAUCAGGAAGAACACCAAUGGCGAAAGCAGCUCUCUGGGACGGUACUGACGCUGAGACGCGAAAGCGUGGGGAGCGAACAGG
RNAcentral lists this ribosomal RNA (253 nucleotides) under uncultured bacterium. RNAcentral's name for it is "partial 16S ribosomal RNA". It matches the Rfam family "Bacterial small subunit ribosomal RNA", at positions 524 to 776 of the family's 1533-position model. The record is from RNAcentral.